AGUUAAUACACCGCUGCACCCAACCCACAAUUUAAUUCCCUCCUUUUUCGGCCAACAAGGCUAUAAAUUUCGGCCGCUUGGUCAAAUCGAAUAGAAUCGGCAGCAAGCUUUUAAUUGUUCCGGCAAUCGAUCCAAGUCCCCAGUUCUCUUCUCGAUCAGGCGGUUCUGUUCCAACAUGAAAGCAGACAUAUUUCUCGUCUCCUCCAUUGCCGGCGCGGCAUUUUUUGUUUCCACUACCAUCAUCUAUGACCUGUUAUCCGCAUAUCGCUCUUAUAGAAACGUUUCAUUUGAGAAUGCGCAAAAGGCGAUAUCCGAUCGGCAAGAGGCCGAGAGAAUGAUAAAGUUGCUCCGAGGUUGCAUGCGUUGAAAUUCAUUGAAACGCUUGUUACGGCGCACAGGUGAUGUGCGAUUUGGCGAUUUGGGAUGAUUUUAGAGAUAAUGUGAACUGACAUUUUGAUCGGUUUUACUUUUUUUUUUUUUUUCUGUUUCUUCUUUCUGAUUGAGAUUUUGAUGACUUCUGUUUGAUGAUUGGCGUUAGGGAAUAUUUUGGAUGUUGAAUAACAUUGGAGUUUGGGAAUUUA
This is a long non-coding RNA of Phalaenopsis equestris, 581 nucleotides long. RefSeq lists it as uncharacterized. Lineage: Eukaryota; Viridiplantae; Streptophyta; Magnoliopsida; Asparagales; Orchidaceae. The transcript is spliced from 2 exons. The record is from RefSeq and is a predicted model, not a curated record.